UUUGAUCCUGGCUCAGAUUGAACGCUGGCGGCAGGCCUAACACAUGCAAGUCGAACGGUAGCACAGAGAGCUUGCUCUCGGGUGACGAGUGGCGGAGGGGUGAGUAAUGUGUGGGAAACUGCCCGAUGGAGGGGGAUAACUACUGGAAACGGUAGCUAAUACCGCAUAACGUCGCAAGACCAAAGUGGGGGACCUUCGGGCCUCACACCAUCGGAUGUGCCCAGAUGGGAUUAGCUACUAGUUGGGGUAAUGGCUCACCUUGGCGACGAUCCCUAGCUGGUCUGAGAGGAUGACCAGCCACACUGGAACUGAGACACGGUCCAGACUCCUACGGGAGGCAGCAGUGGGGAAUAUUGCACAAUGGGCGCAAGCCUGAUGCAGCCAUGCCGCGUGUAUGAAGAAGGCCUUCGGGUUGUAAAGUACUUUCAGCGGGGAGGAAGGCGGUGAAGUUAAUAGCUUCACCGAUUGACGUUACCCGCAGAAGAAGCACCGGCUAACUCCGUGCCAGCAGCCGCGGUAAUACGGAGGGUGCAAGCGUUAAUCGGAAAUACUGGGCGUAAAGCGCACGCAGGCGGUCUGUCAAGUCGGAUGUGAAAUCCCCGGGCUUAACCUGGGAACUGCAUUCGAAACUGGCAGGCUGGAGUCUUGU
RNAcentral lists this ribosomal RNA (649 nucleotides) under bacterium AK-MB40. RNAcentral's name for it is "bacterial SSU rRNA". It matches the Rfam family "Bacterial small subunit ribosomal RNA", at positions 12 to 652 of the family's 1533-position model. The record is from RNAcentral.